This 30-nucleotide non-coding RNA is filed under the name Mus musculus (house mouse). The record is from RNAcentral. Lineage: Eukaryota; Metazoa; Chordata; Mammalia; Rodentia; Muridae.
UUGUCAUUGGUGAGCACUGUGCUGUGCAAC